GAGACAGCCAGGUGGGAGGGGGUCCCUGGAGAAUCUCCAACCAGCCUGCGCACUGGGAAUGCGCACUGGAGUGAAAAUACAGAAGUUGGUGCCCUUUGCAGCAGCCAGGAGUCCGACUCCUCCUCUUCCUGUGUGGAACCUGGAAUUCAAACGGCUGGGUAGGAAGCACGCUAGCAGGGGCCUCUGGCCUUGCUGAGGGUCCCUGUUUCCCCUUUUCCUUCCUUUUCACCCAACAAAACCCUGCUUUACUCACCCUUCAAACCAUCUAUGAGCCUAAAUUGUCGUGGUCGUGGAAUGGACAAGGACCCAGUCUUUAGCUGAACUAAGGGAAAGUCCUGCUUUUUGGCGCGCAACAGGGGAGCUCAAGAAACAGGCCUCACUCACGGCAUAUGGAACUAACCACGCCCCUAACUAAGAAGGCACACCUUAGUUGCAGUUAGCACACAAUUAAAGCAACUCUCCAAGUUUUACCUUAAAGUUCAAAAUUGCUAGGAGUUGAAACUACUAGAAAUAUAUUUACAUGCAAGAGUCAAAGAAACUUUGAACUAUUUAUGGCCUUUAAUAAUUAAGUAAGGUAUACUCCUGUGAUCAAGACUUGGAGCAUAUUUGUUUCUCUCUGCCUGGUUCCUCUAGAAAUUGGAAACUAUCAGAACAGAGACCAACUCCGUUUCCCGAUCCCUUUGCAAUCUGCAUUGAACCAUGAGUCAAGUUCUUGAUAAAGGAGUGAAAAUGGAUGACAUUUAAGGCACAUCUGAAGAUGGGGAAACCACAGCACAGAAUAAGGCUGGGCCCUUGAAUCAAUAAAUGAAGGAGAACUACUCAAGAGAACAAAACCACCAGCAAUAUCCACCUGUAUUUGUCUUUUCAUAAUGUGUGACACAUGUGCUCAUGGAUUAUUGUCCGAAGCAAGACAUGUGACCAAGCCUAACAUCAACUGGGUGAAGAGCUAUAUGUUCCUUUCUCAAGAGGCACUACAAGUGACAUGCCACUGGGCAGGUGUUGUAGGGGGCAGGUCUUUCCUGUGCUGUUCUUGUGAAAGUGAGUAAGUCUCAUGAGAUCUGAAGGCUUUGAAAAACAGGAAUCUCCCUGUACAAGCUCUCUCUUUGCCUGCUGCCAUCCAUGUAAGACGUGACUUGCUCCUUCUUGUCUUCUGCCAUAAUUGUGAGUCUUCCCCAGCCAUGUGGAACUGUAAGUCCAGUUCAACCUCUUUCUUUUGUAAAUUGCCCAGUCUUGGAUAUGUCUUUAUCAGCAGUGUGAAAACAGAGUAAUACAGAAGUAAUUUCUAUGACAUUAUAUAAGAACUAAAGUUUUAUUUUUCCAAAAAUGUUGAAUGUUGAUGCUGUAUUCUGGUGAUGUUUGUUUUACCAGAAAAAUACAUCAUAUUCAGGAUAUGAACUAAACAAAAAUUAGUUGCUACUGCUCAACUGACUUAAAUAUGAGAUGUUGUCUAAUUAUCUCUGAUUGCUUCCUUUGGUUUCUAGUGAUUAAUUAUGCCUAAUUAUUCCUUGAUUUUUGGAAAAUCACAUUUAAGUUUCCUCUGCAAAGAAAAGAAUAGGUAAAUCAAGUCCUCUAGAAAAAAAGCAUAAAAAUAUAGUUUUGAAAUUCUAAAACUCAUAAAGGGAAAUAAAAAUCCCAUUCGUUUUUAUUUUAAUAUUUUGCUAGAAAGUACAAUGGAAGGAAAGAAGUCUUUUUUCUAAGACAGCAGUAUUUUAGUCAAUUGUGUAUCAACAGACUUCUGUAUAACUGGGAGCCACAUCUUGGAAAUGCUCUUUCCAAUGGCAGUGACAUCUGAGGAGAGUCCACUCUGAUAUGGACACUAUACUAGGAGGAGACAAGAGUACAGUAGGAAAAAAUUAGUCUGUGCGGUGAAGGAGUCCUACAUUGUCCCUCAGUAGAUUUCUAUAAAAUUUCACUUAAUUAGUAGCAAGUAACAGAGUUGGAAUGAGGACCUAGAUCUUUCAUUUUAAUCUAAUACUCUUUCUUCCACUAUUUUAGUUAGAGUCAUAUGGGCAAGCCCACAAUUAGUACAUGAGGACAUUUUUAAUGGGUAAGAUUACAGAGAACCAUUAAUUCUAGCCAUUAAAUUAAUCAAUUCAGCAAAGCUCUGAUUCCCCCUUCCCUUAAUUGUUAAAUAAGUAGUUCUCCAUUCAGUUGUUAAAGGAUUAUUUCUUGAUAACAAGGAAAUAAUAAACUUCUUAAGACACCCUGGUAUGAAUAGCUGAAAUUGAUUGAUAGUAAUCUCAGUAAAUCGUUUCAUUCUAAUUUUUGGUAUAUCUAUACUGCUUUGAAUAACUCUUCUACCUACAGCCCAUUAAUAAAUAUUUGCCUAGUCAAAUUUUAGUUUGUGCUAUACUCCUAGAAGGACAUGGGGUGUAUGGAAGCGAAACUAACUGGAUAUUUAAGGCAUUCAAUAAUGUCUUUUUGCUUCCGAUUCUAGCUGUAUAACAUAGGUAAAUCUCUUAAAUUCUCAGAACUUCAAUUCAUUUAUAUGUAAAGUGAGGAGUUGUACCAUAUUGGUAGUUAUUAACAUGUACUGUACUUAUGAAUCAGUCUGAAAAUCUUGCUAAACUGCAUAUUCUGAGCUUUUCUUAAUUUUUUUUUGUUUUCUCGGAAACGCUGAUUCUCUAGGUCUUGGUUGGAGUCCAGGUAUCUGCAAAUUAAAUAAGCACUUGAAGUGAUAGUAUCUGAGUGUCCGUAGGCAAAUGUUAGGAGAACUGAAUCAGAUGUUCUUUGAAAGAUUUUCAUGGUUCUAAAAUGUUCUGAUUUAAAAUCCACAAAGAAAAAAAGCAUUGAAAAUGAAUCAGCAAACUAGAUGUAAUUAAAGCUUCUUGCAAUUCCAUUAAUAAACUUUUUAGAAUGAAUUACACUUUAUGUCUUCAUUUUUUCUUUUACAUUGGCAUGAAAGCAGUGAACCCUGAAAUGUUUCAGUCCUUGAGUUCCCAAAGUUAUGUAAAAGCUUGAUAAUCUUAAUUAACCCACAUUAUCUCUUAUCAUAUAAUAAUAGUGCUUUCUAGAAGUUGACUAUCAGAUGGUGAAGUUAGGUUUAUAUCAGCUGGUCAUUACUUCAAGUUUUUAAGCUAUAGAAGUCUGAACUACCACCAAAAAGAGCAACUAUCAUUUUUUGCUCACAUAAAGAAGUAAAAAUCUUCAAAAUAUUCUCAGGUGUUCUAUAAAUAUUUUUCUCUCAUGUUCUAGGAAACCACCUAAAGUAUAUUCCAAUUGAUAAGCUAAAAUCACUUGGAGUUUGCUAAUUUUGAAGAUGAAAAAGCUCCAGGAGCUUUCACACAGCUCCUUAGUGGUUUCAGUGUGGCCUGACUAGUGGCUGGACUGUGCCACAACAACUUAUUUUAAAGGUUAUUGUGAUACUAUUGGUAAAUAAAUGAUUGGAAAACAUAGAUACCUAUCUGCAUGUAAAAUAAUAGCCUUCCACCACUUUCUCUUUUUCACUUUUCACAUUCCGAUCUUAUCCCUGUUUUACUACUUAUCACGUUGUAAAAUAAGUUUAUAUUAGAUUUUACCUGAAGAUAGUAAAGAUAGUAAGGAUGCUAAGGGUUUUCUUAGGAUACUUAGAAAAUAUAGUAAUUCUGUUAUCUCUCUAAUUAUAAUAAGAUUAUUGACUAAUAAUCUGGAAGUAUGGCCUCAGUACACUCACCUGAGCAAUGAGAGACUGGGUAGGCCUGAUAUUCUUUAUUAUAGAAACACAUUGUUUAGAAUAAACAGUUACGUAAUCAAACUGCUGUGUUAAUUUCUUGGUUUCGUCACUUGAUUGCUUUGUAUACUGGGCAAGUUAUUUCAGUCAUCUUUGAUUCAAUUUCUUCAUCAACAUAAAAACCAUGAUCACUAUUGUACAUACUUCAUGAACUUCUGCAGAUAUUAAAUUACUUAGUAUACAUAAUUAUACCAGUUAUGUCAUUUUUUAAAUUGUUGCUAAUACUGUUAAUCCAUUCAAAUAUUAAAUGAAAGCAUAGUUUGUAGUUCUGUAAGUUUCAAUACUUCACUAUAUAAUUUGAGUACAAUGCAUUAUUCGUAAGCUGAAUAUAGGGUUUUGGAUAUCUUCUGAAGGGUAGGUUACAAUAAAAUUGCUAAUUAUAGAGGGUUGCUAAAGGUAUUUGUACCCUGUGAAGUAUUCUAUUAUCAGUUCUAUUCUGGUUAUUCAAUGUCAGCCACAAUGCCUCUAAAAAAUUUGAAGUCAGCCUUUAUUUUAAAAGUGCCUUAAACAUUUCACUGAAAUAAUUAAAUGUAUUGGUUUAAUGGAACUCUCAUGAUACAGUAGAAGAAAUGGGCUGUUAAGAAUAUUGAAAGAAUUAAGAAGCAGUGAAUUUAAAGCGCCCUCUUCAACUUUUCUUAGAUGUUAUAAAUGUAACCAUUCCUACUAAAGUACACCAUACUCGAAAGAUCUUUUCUCUUUUUUUAUGAUUUAGAAAUGGUAGUUACAAUAUGUUGAAAGUAUAAGCCUUGGUUUUUUAUAUAUGAAAGCACUAUCAAAUCAUAAUGAAGGCAAUUUUUCCUAUAGUCUUAAUUUAGCUAUUUAAUAUAAAAUCAAAAAAAUGGCAUACAUAACUAUCUAGAAGUGUCAAUAAAUCAUUAGAGCGGACAUUCAGUGUUUCCAGUAAAUAAUUAUUAAGUAUAGAUUAGGUUGCUUUGGGAGAGUAUAACAUCUUAGAACUUUACUUCAUGAUAAUAAUCACCACUUAUUAAAUAUAUACUGUAUGUGACACUACAUACUAAACCCCUUUCAUUUAAUCUUACUUAAUAUCUCAAUAACCAGUGCUGAAUUGUCUUACAAAGUUGGUAUCAGCACCACCCCCUCUGAAUUCUCCCUGAUUCAAGGAAAAAUAGGAACUGAGUUCUAGUGAAUUCACUUCCACUUAUGGUUUUGACAUAGAGAGAAAUGAGAAAUUCUGUCUGAUACAUAAAAUGCAG
Molecule: long non-coding RNA, 4923 nt
Filed under: Homo sapiens (human)
Lineage: Eukaryota; Metazoa; Chordata; Mammalia; Primates; Hominidae
Description: HSALNT0163653
Source: RNAcentral